ACGGCGAGUGAAGCGGGAAGAGCUCAAAUUUGAAAUCUGGUAGCCUUCGGUUGCCCGAGUUGUAAUCUAGAGAAGUGUUUUCCGUGCCGGCCCAUGUACAAGUCCCUUGGAACAGGGCGUCAUAGAGGGUGAGAAUCCCGUCCUUGACAUGGACCCCCGGUGCUUUGUGAUACACUUUCAACGAGUCGAGUUGUUUGGGAAUGCAGCUCAAAAUGGGUGGUGAAUUCCAUCUAAAGCUAAAUAUUGGCGAGAGACCGAUAGCGAACAAGUACCGUGAGGGAAAGAUGAAAAGCACUUUGGAAAGAGAGUUAAACAGUACGUGAAAUUGUUGAAAGGGAAACGAUUGAAGUCAGUCAUGCUCUUUGGUAUUUAUAUCAUUGAGUGGGGUCAACAUCAGUUUUGAGCGAUGGAUAAAGGCACUAGGAAGGUAGCACUCUCGGGUGAACUUAUAGCCUAGCGUCAUAUACAUUGUUUGGGACUGAGGAACGCAGCAUGCCUUUAUGGCCGGGAUUCGUCCACGUACA
RNAcentral lists this ribosomal RNA (524 nucleotides) under Naganishia albidosimilis. RNAcentral describes it as "LSU rRNA". It matches the Rfam family "Eukaryotic large subunit ribosomal RNA", at positions 86 to 613 of the family's 3401-position model. Lineage: Eukaryota; Fungi; Basidiomycota; Tremellomycetes; Filobasidiales; Filobasidiaceae. The record is from RNAcentral.